AAACCCCAUCCGGAGCAAGACCAAAUAGGGAAGCAAUCGCGUGGCUCGCGCGGCUUCCGGGUAGGUUGCUGGAGCGUCCGGGUAACCGGCCGCCUAGAGGAAUGACUGUCCUCGACAGAACCCGGCUUACAGGCCAGCUUCUUUU
RNAcentral lists this RNase P RNA (145 nucleotides) under Betaproteobacteria bacterium. RNAcentral describes it as "partial RNase P RNA component class A". It matches the Rfam family "Bacterial RNase P class A", at positions 208 to 367 of the family's 367-position model. Rfam says of the family: Ribonuclease P (RNase P) is a ubiquitous endoribonuclease, found in archaea, bacteria and eukarya as well as chloroplasts and mitochondria. The record is from RNAcentral. Lineage: Bacteria; Pseudomonadati; Pseudomonadota; Betaproteobacteria.